This 250-nucleotide ribosomal RNA is filed under the name uncultured soil bacterium. RNAcentral's name for it is "partial 16S ribosomal RNA". It matches the Rfam family "Bacterial small subunit ribosomal RNA", at positions 26 to 287 of the family's 1533-position model. The record is from RNAcentral.
AGGACGAACGCUGGCGGCGUGCUUAACACAUGCAAGUCAAGGGGACCCGCAAGGGUAACCGGCGAACGGGUGCGUAACACGUGAGCAACCUGCCUAAGUGUGGGGGAUAGCCGGCCCAACGGCCGGGUAAUACCGCAUACGAUCACUAUUUGGCAUCAUUUGAUGAUGAAACUUUCGAGGCACUUAGAGGGGCUCGCGGCCUAUCAGCUUGUUGGUGGGGUAAUGGCCUACCAAGGCAACGACGGGUAGC